UACAGAGGUCUCGAGCGUUAGGCGAAAUCACUGGGCUUAAAGCGUGUGUAGGCGGACUGGUAAGUACCUUGUGAAAUCCCACGGCUCAACCGUGGAACGGCUGGGUAUACUGCUUGUCUUGUGCAACCUAGGGGCGAGCGGAACAGAUGGUGGAGCGGUGAAAUGCGUAGAUAUCAUCUGGAACGCCAAUGGUGAAAACAGCUCGCUGGGGGUUUGCAGACGCUGAGACACGAAAGCCAGGGGAGCGAACGGG
RNAcentral lists this ribosomal RNA (253 nucleotides) under uncultured bacterium. Its description in RNAcentral is "partial 16S ribosomal RNA". It matches the Rfam family "Bacterial small subunit ribosomal RNA", at positions 524 to 776 of the family's 1533-position model. The record is from RNAcentral.